ACAGGGAGGUAGUGACAAGAAAUAACAAUACAGGACUUUUUGGUUUUGUAAUUGGAAUGAGUUAAGUAUAAACCCCUUUACAAGUAUCAAUUGGAGGGCAAGUCUGGUGCCAGCAGCCGCGGUAAUUCCAGCUCCAAUAGCGUAUAUUAAAGUUGUUGCAGUUAAAAAGCUCGUAGUUGGAUUUCUGUUAAUAAUUUAUAUAAAAUAUUUUGAUGAAUAUUUAUAUAAUAUUAACAUAAUUCAUAUUACUAUAUAUUUUAGUAUAUGAAAUUUUACUUUGAGAAAAUUAGAGUGCUUAAAGCAGGCAUAUGCCUUGAAUACUCCAGCAUGGAAUAAUAUUAAAGAUUUUUAUCUUUCUUAUUGGUUCUAAGAUAAGAAUAAUGAUUAAUAGGGACAGUUGGGGGCAUUUGUAUUUAACAGUCAGAGGUGAAAUUCUUAGAUUUGUUAAAGACAAACUAAUGCGAAAGCAUUUGCCAAGGAUGUUUUCAUUAAUCAAGAACGAAAGUUAGGGGAUCGAAGACGAUCAGAUACCGUCGUAGUCUUAACCAUAAACUAUGCCAACUAGAGAUUGGAGGUUGUUCCUUACUCCUU
RNAcentral lists this ribosomal RNA (591 nucleotides) under Cryptosporidium parvum. Its description in RNAcentral is "SSU rRNA". It matches the Rfam family "Eukaryotic small subunit ribosomal RNA", at positions 456 to 1080 of the family's 1831-position model. Lineage: Eukaryota; Apicomplexa; Conoidasida; Eucoccidiorida; Cryptosporidiidae. The record is from RNAcentral.